GGAAACCAUUGGGAAACCAGACCUAAGUCAGGUUAAGGGUAGUACUGGAUUGCAGAAACACACAGACAAACAGUACACUGGUGAUGAAAAACUUCAUUUAAUGCAAUCCCGACCCUGCCAUAGUGAACAAACGACAUCCAUUCAGGCCCAGACUGAUUGUUUACAUGUAGCGCAGUAUUCACCGUCAGCCUUAGCAGCAUUAGUGGGAGACCAUGUUACAGAGAUUCCUGAUGAUAUCAUCGUUGCAGCUCUGAAUCUGUUAAAGUCUGUGUGUAAUAAUGAAUUGGAACCUUAUGUUGGAUACUUCACUCCUGC
This is a long non-coding RNA of Ruditapes philippinarum (Manila clam), 315 nucleotides long. RefSeq lists it as uncharacterized. The record is from RefSeq and is a predicted model, not a curated record. NCBI's taxonomy places the organism in Eukaryota, Metazoa, Mollusca, Bivalvia, Venerida, Veneridae. The transcript has 3 exons.